RNAcentral lists this transfer RNA (66 nucleotides) under Chrysomelidae sp. SPH01. RNAcentral describes it as "tRNA-Trp". The record is from RNAcentral. Lineage: Eukaryota; Metazoa; Arthropoda; Insecta; Coleoptera; Chrysomelidae.
AAGGAUUUAAGUUAAUGCAAACUUUCAACCUUCAAAGCUGAAUAUAGAUACACUAUCUAAGCCUUA